Molecule: transfer RNA, 68 nt
Filed under: Crossorhombus valderostratus (broadbrow flounder)
Lineage: Eukaryota; Metazoa; Chordata; Actinopteri; Pleuronectiformes; Bothidae
Description: tRNA-Phe
Rfam family: tRNA
About the family: Transfer RNA (tRNA) molecules are approximately 80 nucleotides in length.
Source: RNAcentral
GCAACCGUAGCUUAAAUAAAGCAUAACACUGAAGAUGUUAAGAUGAACUGUAAAAAGCUCCGGGAGCA